Molecule: ribosomal RNA, 253 nt
Filed under: uncultured bacterium
Lineage: Bacteria
Description: partial 16S ribosomal RNA
Rfam family: Bacterial small subunit ribosomal RNA
Source: RNAcentral
UACAGAGGGUGCAAGCGUUAAUCGGAAUUACUGGGCGUAAAGCGUGCGGAGUCGGUUUUGUAAGUCUGUCGUGAAAGCCCCGGGCUCAACCUGGGAAUUGCGAUGGAGACUGCAAGGCUUGAAUCUGGCAGAGGGGGGUAGAAUUCCACGUGUAGCAGUGAAAUGCGUAGAGAUGUGGAGGAACACCGAUGGCGAAGGCAGCCCCCUGGGUCAAGAUUGACGCUCAUGCACGAAAGCGUGGGGAGCAAACAGG